AGUGAACGCUGGCGGUAGGCCUAACACAUGCAAGUCGAACGGCAGCACAGUAAGAGCUUGCUCUUACGGGUGGCGAGUGGCGGACGGGUGAGGAAUACAUCGGAAUCUACUUUUUCGUGGGGGAUAACGUAGGGAAACUUACGCUAAUACCGCAUACGACCUACGGGUGAAAGCAGGGGAUCUUCGGACCUUGCGCGAUUGAAUGAGCCGAUGUCGGAUUAGCUAGUUGGCGGGGUAAAGGCCCACCAAGGCGACGAUCCGUAGCUGGUCUGAGAGGAUGGUUCGCCACACGGUAACUGAGACUCGUUCCAGACUCCUACGGUAGGCAGCAGUGGGGAAUAUUGGACAAUGGGCGCAAGCCUGAUCCUGCCAUACCGCGUGGGUGAUGAAGGCCUUCGGGUUGUAAAGCCCUUUUGUUGUGAAAGAAAAGCAGCUGUUUUAUACCCCGCUGUUCUGACGGUACCCAAAGAAUAAGCACCGGCUAACUUCGUG
This 492-nucleotide ribosomal RNA is filed under the name uncultured bacterium. RNAcentral describes it as "partial 16S ribosomal RNA". It matches the Rfam family "Bacterial small subunit ribosomal RNA", at positions 29 to 507 of the family's 1533-position model. The record is from RNAcentral.